UACGGGGUGAGCAAGCGUUGUUCGGAUUUACUGGGCGUAAAGGGCGCGUAGGCGGCGCAACAAGUCACUUGUGAAAUCUCCGGGCUUAACCCGGAGCGGCCAAGUGAUACUGUCGUGCUAGAGUGCGGAAGGGGCUACUGGAAUUCUCGGUGUAGCGGUGAAAUGCGUAGAUAUCGAGAGGAACACCUGCUGCGAAGGCGGGUAGCUGGGCCGACACUGACGCUGAGGCGCGAAAGCCAGGGGAGCGAACGGG
Molecule: ribosomal RNA, 253 nt
Filed under: uncultured bacterium
Lineage: Bacteria
Description: partial 16S ribosomal RNA
Rfam family: Bacterial small subunit ribosomal RNA
Source: RNAcentral